Molecule: ribosomal RNA, 450 nt
Filed under: uncultured bacterium
Lineage: Bacteria
Description: bacterial SSU rRNA
Rfam family: Bacterial small subunit ribosomal RNA
Source: RNAcentral
UUUCCAGACUCCUACGGGAGGCAGCAGUGGGGAAUAUUGCACAAUGGGGGAAACCCUGAUGCAGCGACGCCGCGUGAAGGAAGAAGUAUCUCGGUAUGUAAACUUCUAUCAGCAGGGAAGAAAACAGACGGUACCUGACUAAGAAGCCCCGGCUAACUACGUGCCAGCAGCCGCGGUAAUACGUAGGGGGCAAGCGUUAUCCGGAUUUACUGGGUGUAAAGGGGGCGCAGACGGCCAUGGCAAGCCCGAUGUGAAAGCCCGGGGCUCAACCCCGGGACUGCAUUGGGAACUGGCGUGCUGGAGUGCCGGAGGGGCAGGCGGAAUUCCUGGUGUAGCGGUGAAAUGCGUAGAUAUCAGGAGGAACACCGGUGGCGAAGGCGGCCUGCUGGACGGAUACUGACGCUGAGGCCCGAAAGCGUGGGGAGCGAACAGGAUUAGAUACCCCCGUAA